Molecule: microRNA precursor, 84 nt
Filed under: Capra hircus (goat)
Lineage: Eukaryota; Metazoa; Chordata; Mammalia; Artiodactyla; Bovidae
Description: microRNA mir-153 (ENSCHIG00000002445.1)
Rfam family: mir-153 microRNA precursor family (bases 4-75)
Source: RNAcentral
GCUGCCAGCGUCAUUUUUGUGAUCUGCAGCUAGUAUUCUCACUCCAGUUGCAUAGUCACAAAAGUGAUCACUGGCAGGUGUGGC